GGGGAGGAGUGGAGCACCUCUCGGGCACCUGAGGUUCAACUAGGAGAGGAGGGAGGUGUGUGCGGCGGCCAGAAGGAAGGGGAGGCCCGGCGGAUUCGGCGAGAAGGGGAGGGAGGAGAGAGAGAGCCUCCUGGCGCGGACGGAACCCGCCUCUCGUUGCCAAGGUGUCUUCUUGGAAUCGAAGAAGGACACCUGAGGGACCGUUACUAGCCAGAGAGGUGGCAGCGCCGGAGUCACCGAGGCUGCCGUGCUCGUCUAAGGGGAGCAGAGUCCCCACCCCUGACAGCUUGCCGCUGCUGCCCGCCUGCCGCGCCCGGCGAAAACUCGGAAAGAGAUUUCCACUGGGAUGCCCUGCCAGCUGCCACCUUCAUUCGGAAGGCGGUGUGGGGCUAAAGAUCCUGAGGACGAGGAACGGGAAAGAUUCCUUGCUUUACAGCUGCCGCCCCACCAAACCUCUCCCACAUUCUAAGCAAAGGAGGAUUCCUGGGACAGCUGCUCCGAACAGCGUGGAGGCGGGGUUAAUUUGCGCCUAGAUCGCUGAGGGGUGUUUUUCCUCUCCUGAUCUUCUAAUUUGAAAGUUAGGUUCGCAUCGUUCUCAGUUUAAGAGACCAAUUAUAUGGGGAUAGAAACCAGCACAGGUCAUCAUAAUCUGGGCCCCUCCCGUCCACUCCCACUAUUAAGGUUACUGUUAACAUUAUUAACAGUAAAGCAUUCUUCCUGAUGCAUUAGUGGAAAACAUAUUAUAGAGGAAAGUAGCUUUUCACCCUUAGGGUACUCUUUGAAUCCUUAAGGCCUUAAAAAUAGAUAAUGUUUAAAAUACUCGCAGUUAAAAGAAAAAGAAAAGAAAAGAAAAGAACUCGCAGUUAAAAGGAACCAAAAGGUGGGGUCAAAGAAAAGUUACGAAGUUCUACAGAGAAGUCAGAAGAAAAAUUAUAUUGGUUUGAGAGAGGCAAUAGUUUCCCUGAGAAAAAGUUAUUUGAGAUGGGCUUGGAAAGUGAACUGGAUUUUAUCACAUGGAACUAUGGGAGGAGGGAGGCAGCGUGAGAAAAGAGAGGCACAGGAAUGUCCACUGUAGAAGUUUUAAAAGUUUACAACUUUUUGGAGUUCCAGUCAUGGUGCAGUGGAAGCAAAUCUGACUAGGAGCCAUGAGGUUGCAGGUUGGGUCCCUGGCCUUGCUCAGUGGGUUAAGGAUCUGGCAUUGCCAUGAGCUGUGGUGCAGGUCACAGAUGCACUAAAAUGAAUUCAACUGUACCGCAUCUCAUGGUUACAAAUGUUUGUUAAAGAUUUGUUUUCCAUGAGUAGGUUUAAUAUCCCAAAUGUUUUUCUCAUGAUCUGAAAUGAUGACUUGUACAUUGCCAGGGUAAAAGGCAGUAUCAACAGCUUGCCAUUCCUGAAAAUUUAAGCACCUCAGGUUUAUAUUCUAAAUCCUUCAAUGAAUGUCAGCAAAAGGGGGAAGUAGGUGUGCCAGCAGGAGAGAGACAACUUUCACUUCACUGUUAACGCAUUCGGAAGGAGGAAGGCAGGCAUUAAGCCUGACUUCUCACAGAAUCUUGUUGCCUGGGUUUGGACAAAUAGUUUAACCUUGAGUAUGUUAACAUAUCUGGCGAAUAAGUGCUAGUAGAAUAUUCACUAACAAAUAAAUGUCCUCCAUUGAGAAGAAACAGAUAAUAAUAGUGAAACACCCUAAACACAGAGUGGUCACAGGUAUUCAAUCUAAAUGAUCUAAGGUUAAGUUUUGUGUCUGUCAUGGAUUUGUCAGCUCCCUAUUAACGCUGUUCUACUGGUGAAACAAAAGGAGACAUAAGACAAUUAGCCAACUGUUGUUUACAAUUUUUCAGAAUUAUUCAGUCUCCUGCUUUACUUUGCCUCUGGUUACAGUAAAAUAGUUGGCAAUAAUCAGAGGUUCACUGCAGAAGGAAGGACGAGGAAAACUUCACUUCUAGCUAAGUCACAGUUAAAACAACAGUAGCUGUGGAUUAUCGUGUAGGUGUGAAGAAUACAGCCGUUCAGUUCCCCCUCAUGGCUCAGCGAUUAAUGAACCUGACUAGUAUCCACAAAGAGGAGGGUUUGAUCCCUGGCCUCACUCAGUGGGUUAAGGAUCCAGCAUUGCCAUCAGCUGUGGUGUAGGUCACAGAUGCGGCGCAGAUUCUCCGUUGCUGUGGCUGUGGUGUAGGCUGGCAGCUGUAGCUCUGGUCUGACCCCCUAGCCUGGGAACCUCCAUGUGCCCAGGGUAUGGCCCUAAAAAGACAAAACAAAAAAAA
Molecule: long non-coding RNA, 2261 nt
Filed under: Sus scrofa (pig)
Lineage: Eukaryota; Metazoa; Chordata; Mammalia; Artiodactyla; Suidae
Description: lncRNA (ENSSSCG00025054833.1)
Source: RNAcentral